UACGAAGGGGGCUAGCGUUGCUCGGAAUCACUGGGCGUAAAGCGCACGUAGGCGGCUUGGUAUGUCGGGUGUGAAAUCCCCGGGCUCAACCUGGGAACUGCAUCCGAAACUGCCUUGCUCGAGUAUGGGAGAGGGAAGUGGAAUUUCCGGUGUAGCGGUGAAAUGCGUAGAUAUCGGAAGGAACAUCAGUGGCGAAGGCGACUUCCUGGACCAAUACUGACGCUCAGGUGCGAAAGCGUGGGGAGCAAACAGG
Molecule: ribosomal RNA, 253 nt
Filed under: uncultured bacterium
Lineage: Bacteria
Description: partial 16S ribosomal RNA
Rfam family: Bacterial small subunit ribosomal RNA
Source: RNAcentral